This 352-nucleotide unclassified non-coding RNA is filed under the name soil metagenome. RNAcentral describes it as "partial contains 5.8S ribosomal RNA, internal transcribed spacer 2, and large subunit ribosomal RNA". The stretch from base 1 to 120 matches the Rfam family "5.8S ribosomal RNA", at positions 35 to 154 of the family's 154-position model. The record is from RNAcentral.
GAUGAAGAACGCAGCGAAAUGCGAUAAGUAAUGUGAAUUGCAGAAUUCAGUGAAUCAUCGAAUCUUUGAACGCACAUUGCGCCCGCCAGUAUUCUGGCGGGCAUGCCUGUUCGAGCGUCAUUACGACCCUCAGGCCCCCGGGCCUGGCGUUGGGGAUCGGCAGAAGCCCCCUGUGGGCACACGCCGUCCCUCAAAUACAGUGGCGGUCCCGCCGCAGCUUCCAUUGCGUAGUAGCUAACACCUCGCAACUGGAGAGCGGCGCGGCCAUGCCGUAAAACACCCAACUUCUGAAUGUUGACCUCGAAUCAGGUAGGAAUACCCGCUGAACUUAAGCAUAUCAAUAAGCGGAGGA